GACGAACGCUGGCGGCGUGCCUAACACAUGCAAGUCGAACGGGGUGAGCCUCCUCGGAGACUUACUUAGUGGCGAACGGGUGAGUAACGCGUGAGAAACCUGCCUUUCAGUGGGGGACAACAGUUGGAAACGACUGCUAAUACCGCAUAAUGUUAUUUAGGGGCAUCCCUGAAUAACCAAAGCUUUAUGUGCUGAAAGAUGGUCUCGCGUCUGAUUAGCUAGAUGGCGGGGUAACGGCCCACCAUGGCGACGAUCAGUAGCCGGUCUGAGAGGAUGAACGGCCACAUUGGGACUGAGAUACGGCCCAGACUCCUACGGGAGGCAGCAGUGGGGAAUAUUGGGCAAUGGGGGAAACCCUGACCCAGCAACGCCGCGUGAAGGAAGAAGGCCCUUCGGGUUGUAAACUUCUUUUAGUCAGGGACGAAGAACGUGACGGUACCUGCAGAAAAGCAACGGCUAAACUAACGUG
This 469-nucleotide ribosomal RNA is filed under the name uncultured bacterium. RNAcentral's name for it is "bacterial SSU rRNA". It matches the Rfam family "Bacterial small subunit ribosomal RNA", at positions 28 to 507 of the family's 1533-position model. The record is from RNAcentral.